AUCGCUUCUCAUCCUUUUGGCUAAGAUCAAGUGAAGUAUCUGAUCUUAUCAGUUUAAUAUCUGAUAUGUCCUCUAUCCAAGGACAGCAUAUUAAAGUAUUUUUGCAAGCAGGGGUUGGACUAAGAGCUUGCUCUGUCCAUUCCAUGCAUCAAUCUAGUAUUGUAGUAUUUCCAGGAAUGGUGCACCCCCU
This is a small nuclear RNA of Echinops telfairi (small Madagascar hedgehog), 190 nucleotides long. RefSeq annotates it as U2 spliceosomal RNA. The record is from RefSeq and is a predicted model, not a curated record. NCBI's taxonomy places the organism in Eukaryota, Metazoa, Chordata, Mammalia, Afrosoricida, Tenrecidae. The transcript has a single exon.